RNAcentral lists this ribosomal RNA (253 nucleotides) under uncultured bacterium. RNAcentral describes it as "partial 16S ribosomal RNA". It matches the Rfam family "Bacterial small subunit ribosomal RNA", at positions 524 to 776 of the family's 1533-position model. The record is from RNAcentral.
UACGAAGGGUGCAAACGUUGCUCGGAAUUAUUGGGCGUAAAGCGCACGUAGGCGGCAUUGCAAGUCGGAUGUGAAAUCCCUCGGCUUAACCAAGGAAGUGCAUCCGAAACUGCAGUGCUUGAGUACUUAAGAGGAUCGCGGAAUUCCCGGUGUAGAGGUGAAAUUCGUAGAUAUCGGGAGGAACACCAGUGGCGAAGGCGGCGAUCUGGGAAGAUACUGACGCUGAGGUGCGAAAGCUAGGGGAGCAAACGGG